This 23-nucleotide non-coding RNA is filed under the name Rattus norvegicus (Norway rat). Lineage: Eukaryota; Metazoa; Chordata; Mammalia; Rodentia; Muridae. The record is from RNAcentral.
UGUCAGCGUGUUUUUGAAAGAAA